This 322-nucleotide ribosomal RNA is filed under the name uncultured bacterium. Its description in RNAcentral is "bacterial SSU rRNA". It matches the Rfam family "Bacterial small subunit ribosomal RNA", at positions 28 to 334 of the family's 1533-position model. The record is from RNAcentral.
GACGAACGCUGGCGGCAUGCCUAAUACAUGCAAGUCGAGCGGAGUUAUGAUGGAGCUUGCUCUUCAUGAAGUUAGUGGCGGACGGGUGAGUAACACGUGGGUAACCUGCCCUUCAGUGGGGGAUAACAUCCGGAAACGGGUGCUAAUACCGCAUAGUUUCUUUUUCCGCCUGGAAGAAGAAGGAAAGAUGGCCUUUGCGCUAUCACUGAGGGAUGGACCCGCGGCGUAUUAGUUAGUUGGUGGGGUAAUGGCCUACCAAGACGAUGAUACGUAGCCGACCUGAGAGGGUGAUCGGCCGCAUUGGGACUGAGACACGGCCCAA